AAGUGGGGGGGGCCUAAUACAUGCAAAGUCGAGCGGAGUUUGAAAAAGCUUGCUUUUCAAAACUUAGCGGCGGACGGGUGAGUAACACGUGGGCAACCUGCCCUUGAGACGGGGAUAACUCCGGGAAACCGGAGCUAAUACCGGAUAACACAUAUCUUCGCAUGAGGAUAUGUUAGAAGGUGGCUUUUAGCUACCACUCAAGGAUGGGCCCGCGGCGCAUUAGCUAGUUGGUGAGGUAACGGCUCACCAAGGCGACGAUGCGUAGCCGACCUGAGAGGGUGAUCGGCCACACUGGGACUGAGACACGGCCCAGACUCCUACGGGAGGCAGCAGUAGGGAAUCUUCCGCAAUGGACGAAAGUCUGACGGAGCAACGCCGCGUGAGUGAUGAAGGUUUUCGGAUCGUAAAGCUCUGUUGUUAGGGAAAAACAAGUACCUGUUAAAUA
This 445-nucleotide ribosomal RNA is filed under the name Priestia endophytica. RNAcentral describes it as "bacterial SSU rRNA". It matches the Rfam family "Bacterial small subunit ribosomal RNA", at positions 39 to 466 of the family's 1533-position model. Lineage: Bacteria; Bacillati; Bacillota; Bacilli; Caryophanales; Bacillaceae. The record is from RNAcentral.